Podarcis muralis (Common wall lizard) is the source of this 3849-nucleotide non-coding RNA. NCBI's taxonomy places the organism in Eukaryota, Metazoa, Chordata, Lepidosauria, Squamata, Lacertidae. The record is from RefSeq and is a predicted model, not a curated record.
CUUGUGAAAGGGGGGCAGUUUUGGGAGACAUUCCAGCCCUGGCAUUGGGAGCCAGAUGAGGAAUCCUGGAAGAGGACACUCCAGGCUCAUCUAGUCCAACCCCUGCAAUUCAGGAACCCCGGUUCUUAGUCCCGCCAGCUCCCUUGAGCUGGGCAACUCGGAUGCCUGAAGCAGCGCCCCGUUGGAGAGCAGCCUUGGGUCGCCUCUGGAGCUGUCCGGACCUUUUGGAUGGCUGUUUCCAUCCCCCCUGCCUUCUGCUGGCAGGCCCGGUUGGGAGUUGUAGUCCAAAGCUUAUUGAGGGGAGGUGGUUUUCAAGUUGGAACUAUGUUUUGACCCUUUCCCAAAAGGAGAUGCCACAAAGUGUGUGUCGGGAGGGUGUCUUUUCAGUGCCAGGAUACAAGGUGCUCUCUUGACCUGGGAGCCCAAUCCCUCUCCCCCACCCCUAGAAAAGGGGGUCUUCCCCUUAUCCUCUCCUUGCAGGACCCCCUUUUCCUUCCUCUUUGCUCAGAGUCAGAACCAACUCUCUCUCAAGGGACCCUGGAGCCAAACACUUGCAGAGUUUUACUUCUCAAGCAAAGGGGGGGAAGGAAUACAUUCUUAUUGCUCUUGAGAUGUACAGAAAUCUGUUCCCCGCGGAGGGAGAAGCUCGCCAGGCCCCCAAAGUCCCCCGAUGGAGCAGCUCUGCACCUGCGCCACGCCCGGGGCUCCUCCGCAGGGAAAGACCGACCAGCAAAAGGGUUAAGUGGCACCAAGCUGGCUUCCUAGAGAGGAAUAAAGGGAGGAGGCUAUCCAGAGCACAAGCUCCGCCCCCAUCCGGGCUUUUGUCUCUCUGCUCCGCAUGUGCUGCCUGGGGGCGCCUUCUGGGAUCCGGAUCCUCCCUGCCAGAGGGGGAGGGGGCUUUCGUUUCCUCUGCAGGAGCUGCCUCAGUUUACCUUCUGGCAUCUGGAUUCUCUGGCACCUCUCAUUAGGACAGGCAGAACUUGGCAGAAGACCUAGGGACUCCUUCCGAUCUCCUGGGAACAGAGAUGGAUGAGCAAGACUCAGCUGGCCCUGAAGCAGGAAGAGGCCUUGCAACCCAACAUGGGAGGAGUGGGGGAAUCUGGGAAAACUCUGUUUGGUCACAUUAUGUGGAUUUUGAAACUAAUCUAUGAAUUUGUUUAAUCUUGGGGGGGGGGGGGAGUCACAGAGGACCAAGAGCCCAGAGAAAGGGAGAUGUAUUUUUGCACUCUAGUAUGUGAAAUGGGUACAAACGUCCACAUUUAGGUGGCAACUCCUACUUGUUUGAAGGCGCACCUGUAGUUUUCCUUCGGAGUGAAGCAUGCGCUCUUGGCUUCCCACUUACCUUCUUCUCUCGCAGGAGACGGAAGGAGGCCAGCAAGACCUGUUUGUCCAUCUUUUCUUGGUGGCGGAGGGGAAGCUGCCCCUGUGGACCCAGAGCAGGUAGGAGGAAGGGGCCAUGUGGGGAGAGAGGAUGUCAUGGACUGGGGGACACAGAGGAAUGGUGGGAGGAACCGCCCAGGAAGGAGGGUUGAAGGCUCAAAUAGGCUUCUGAGCAGUUCACACACCAUACCAAAGAGUGGCCAGGAUUCACCCCAUCAGUCCCACAGUGGGGCUUUCCCCCUCUCAUUCCCCAGCGCACCUUGGAGAUGUCUAUAGUGCUUCAGGAGGGUCCUCCCUGUCGCAAAAUCUUUGUGGCACUUUAGCAGAAAUGCUUAGAGUUCCAGGUUCUUCAGUGCAGUAUAUUUAUUGUGAGCUCUAUAUCUACAAAUAUCUACAGGCUAUAAUACAGGAGCAGUUCAUACAGUCAAACGGAGUACCUGGCUGCACCUUAAGGCAAAGAGGAAGACUCUCUCUCUCUCUGACCACACUCCUCUGCACCACCACCUUGACUGCUGGACAGGUUUCCCUUUUAAACCAAGGACAGCCAAUCAACUGACAGCACGUUAUUCUGACCCACAUCAUUCUGACCCUGAACUUGCAUAGAAAGUAUUGCAGGCCGAUUGCAUCAGCCAGUUGCAUCAGCUAGCAGACUCAAGCCUGCAGACCUACUAUCUCACACAGCCUUCUGGGAUCCCAACACUCCCCACCCGGCAAGAACAGCACAGAGGGACAGAAGAAGGGAUCCUUCCAUGUGGCAAACGGGAAUGUUUGUGCACAGGAUUAGAAGAAUGAUUUGAAGAACACCAGUUUCUUAAUGCCCCUCAUUAAAAUACACAACGAAUAAUUCCAUUAAAACAUCAAAAUAUGCAUCCAUAAAAUGUACAGAAAAAGAAUCCAAUUAAUACAGAACAUCAAUUAAGAGGCAGAAAACAACAGAGUGUAACAGUUCACCCUUAUGUUAUCUAAGAGGACAACCUUUUUCUUUUAGGGUCCAGUGUGCUUUGAAGAUGUAGCUGUCCAUUUCACAGACGUUGACUGGGCAUUGCUGCAUCCUGACCAGAGAGCCCUCCAUAAGGAAGUCAGGGAGGAGAAUCGGGGGAUCUCGGACUCUCUCAGUAAGGCUUAAUAUUAUGCCUACCCCCCCUCCAAGAUGGCCCCCUUUUGCUCUUGAAGGGUUGGUCUGUCUGCAGCCCCCACAGCCUCCCAUCAGGGAACCUUCACGGGGGCAGAAGCAGAGGAAGGGCCUCAGGAAAGCAGCCAUGGCUCUGGCCAGAUGCACAGGAGGAGGAGGAGGGGCGCUGACCCAAAUUAUGAUUUAUUCCUUCAAUGCCUCCUUCACGUCAUGACUGGUCAAAGUCUUGUCUCCUCUUCUCUCCCUCAGUUACCUUACAGCUCUGCUGCAGUCCCUUCCCAGAUACAGAGAGUGAUCUGGGGUGUCGUGGAAUCCUAGAACUGGAGAAUUCUGCAGGUCUGCCCAGAACUCAUUGCACCGAGUUCAAGGGAACUUCUUCCCCGGUAGUUCCUCUCGGGAUCUCCGUUCGACUGAGCUGAUAAAGCUGAUCUUCCGGAAUCGCCUCCACGUGAUUGACGACCUGAGCCUCUGAUAAGGCUCCAGGCACAUUCCCCAUUCAGCAGAGUUUCCAGCACAGGGAAGAGACGAGAGGUUUGGGCUACAUUGCUAGGGGUUUUAUUAUCUAGCUACGCAGGCAGAAAAAUACAUCCUCUCUCUGUGAGAGCAGAGAGCAACUGAACAACAAAGGAACAAAGGAACAGGAAACCACUAACAUCCCAUCCGUCUCCUGUGAGACUUCCAACAGUAUGGAAUGUGUGGAAUGUAGACAGAGUCUUGUGACUCCAAAGCACUGCUCAGUGGCAAACAGAAAUGGCAAGCAUUUUCUCCUCACUUACAGGAACAUUGGGAAGACAAGCUGGCCUUGUUGUGAGCCAGGUGUCCUAGAGAGACUCUGAAAGGCCCAUGGAAUCAAAGGGAGGCUGGGGAGGAGAACAGGUCCUCUCAGGAGUGGCUUCCGAGGGCCAUGAUGCACUGGGGCAGGGCAGGGACAAAUGCAGAGGGGCACUGCCUGCCAAUCCAAUUCCCCAAAAUUCAUCACCCAUCCUGAGACCCUCAGAAGAAGAUUCAGGGGGGGCCUGACCAGAUUCAGGGGGCCCCUGACCAGCUACAUGGCUGGAUGGUCAUUUCCACCAUUCCAGAGGCGAGUCCCUCCCUCCCGACCAGGGAGGGGUGUUGCUUUACUUGCCAACAAGCAGGACACGCACGCCUGUUUGUUGCCAUUAGGCUGCAAUAAGCUCAGGGGAAGUAGCAGGUUGGGGCACCUAGGAGAAUAUCCUACACUGCACCUAGGAGAAUAUCCUACGCUGCACCAAGGAUUCCCUGCCCCAGCUGCUUCAGGUUGUGGCGGAUGUUCUCCUGGAGACACCUAGCUUGGUUGUCCUAGGGGAGUUUAACAU